Molecule: ribosomal RNA, 498 nt
Filed under: uncultured bacterium
Lineage: Bacteria
Description: partial 16S ribosomal RNA
Rfam family: Bacterial small subunit ribosomal RNA
Source: RNAcentral
ACUCAAAUGAAUAGACGGGGGCCCGCACAAGCGGUGGAGCAUGUGGUUCAAUUCGAUGCAACGCGAAGAACCUUACCUGGGUUUGAAGAGUGAGAGAUACGGGAUGAAAGUCCUUCUCCCCGCAAGGGGCUGUCACUUAGGUGCUGCAUGGCUGUCGUCAGCUCGUGUCGUGAGAUGUUGGGUUAAGUCCCGCAACGAGCGCAACCCUUGUUCGCAGUUACCAUCAUUUAGUUGGGGACUCUGCGAAGACCGCCGGUGACAAACCGGAGGAAGGUGGGGAUGACGUCAAGUCCUCAUGGCCUUUAUGUCCAGGGCUACACACGUGCUACAAUGGCCGGUACAAACCGUUGCAAGCCUGCGAAGGCAAGCCAAUCGGAGAAAGCCGGUCUCAGUUCGGAUUGCAGGCUGCAACUCGCCUGCAUGAAGCUGGAAUCGCUAGUAAUCGCGGAUCAGCACGCCGCGGUGAAUACGUUCCCGGGCCUUGUACACACCGCCCGU